UCAAAAAUAGGCACUUUCAGA
This 21-nucleotide non-coding RNA is filed under the name Caenorhabditis elegans. Lineage: Eukaryota; Metazoa; Nematoda; Chromadorea; Rhabditida; Rhabditidae. The record is from RNAcentral.